RNAcentral lists this ribosomal RNA (308 nucleotides) under Amanita sp. 'longicuneus'. Its description in RNAcentral is "partial 28S ribosomal RNA". It matches the Rfam family "Eukaryotic large subunit ribosomal RNA", at positions 1 to 287 of the family's 3401-position model. The record is from RNAcentral. Lineage: Eukaryota; Fungi; Basidiomycota; Agaricomycetes; Agaricales; Amanitaceae.
UUUGACCUCAAAUCAGGUAGGACUACCCGCUGAACUUAAGCAUAUCAAUAAGCGGAGGAAAAGAAACUAACAAGGAUUCCCCUAGUAACUGCGAGUGAAGCGGGAAAAGCUCAAAUUUGAAAUCUGGCAGUCUUUUUUUUCUUCUUUGGCUGUCCGAGUUGUAAUCUAGAGAAGUGCUUACCUGCACUGGACCAUGUAUAAGUCUCCUGGAAUGGAGCGUCACAGAGGGUGAGAAUCCCGUCUUUGACAUGGACUGCCAGUGUGUUGUGGUGUGCUCUCAAAGAGUCGAGUUGUUUGGGAAUGCAGCU